CAGUAGAGAAUAUUGUGCAAUAUACGGCAGUAUGACACAGAGAGCACACGCCCUCUUGGCCUGUCCAACUAAGUGCCAGCAGACGCGGUUAGACUUAGGGGCCAAGCCUUUAUGAGCAAAGGGGCGUAAAGGGUGUGUAGGCCGACUGCCCCACCCCCCCCAAGGUGGUAAAUGGAAUUUUUCUGUAGCGGUAGAAUGUGCGGAUAGAAAAUAGAACCCCAAAAGCAUAAGCAAUUUACCGCGGGGCGGGAGGGGGGCCCCCUGGGGCGCCCCCCGGGCUACGGGCUGAAACACGAGGGUGUGGGGAACAAACAGGAUUAGAGACCCUGGUAGUCCACACUGUAAACGAUGGAGAAAAUGCGAAUGCAGCCCCGAAAGGCAGCAAUCUCCCGCCUGAGUAGUACGAUCGCAAGAUUAAAAUUCAAAAAAUUUGGCUGUUCACCGUUUCGAUUAGAGGAGCGUGUAGUUUAAUUCGAUAAACCGCGAGAUACCUUACCCAAACUUGAAUCCUUGAGGAUUCCAAGGAAUCCUUAUGGACCGGUAUUGCAUGGCCGUCGUCAGUUCGUGUAUGAAACCUUAAACGGACCCAACCCGAGGAUUAGCCGCGGAUGAAGUCAGGUCUUAUGGUCCCAAUGUUUGGGGAUAAUAUGCGCUACAUUUUCUUAUACAAUGGGAAACCUGGGAGGUGAAACCCAAAAGUGAGAGUUCGGUAGGCUAUUGGAAGAUGGCCGAAAGUUGAAUUUAAUAGUAAUCGGAAAGUAUAGCGUUCCGGUGAAAUGGUCUAGGUGUUAGCACAAAUCGCCCGUCACCUUAACUUAGGAUGAUGGUUCGGACGCCGCCGCGCCCCC
Molecule: ribosomal RNA, 848 nt
Filed under: Hydrozoanthus sils
Lineage: Eukaryota; Metazoa; Cnidaria; Anthozoa; Zoantharia; Hydrozoanthidae
Description: partial small subunit ribosomal RNA
Rfam family: Bacterial small subunit ribosomal RNA
Source: RNAcentral